This is a long non-coding RNA of Chlorocebus sabaeus (green monkey), 6568 nucleotides long. RefSeq lists it as uncharacterized. NCBI's taxonomy places the organism in Eukaryota, Metazoa, Chordata, Mammalia, Primates, Cercopithecidae. The record is from RefSeq and is a predicted model, not a curated record.
UCACCAUGUUUGUUUUAUUUUGAGGAUUGUAUAAAAUAUAUUUUUAAAUAUCUACACAUUCAUUUUGUUUCACUAAGACCUGCUAAGGAUGAUAUAUUGUUAGAAAUUUAAAACAUGGCAAUAGAAACAUCAGCGUUAAAACCCUAUUAAAUUUGAUUUUACUUUCAGUUGCCUGCUUCUUCUCAAACUCAGCAUCAUCAUUCUAGCCCAGUCUCUGGAUUAUUUAAAUUAUCUUGACUCUCGCCUUCCAUUAUUCACACCAUCUGAAACACUUUGGUGUGACUAAUCUUCCUAAGACUGAUAAUUCCAUUUUCUUACUUUCAGAAAUCUCCACUGGCUGCUAAAGUAAAUCUUCUUGAGUUAUGAUCAAAGGCAGUGCAUAAUGUGGGCUUCACCUUUCUCCCAGGGAAUAGUCCCUGGCACUGCCCUCCUGGGACCACGUGACUGUGCUGCUCAAAGUGGAGUCUCAAAACUGGUUCUGGUCCAGGGACUGUAUAUCGCGGAGUCAAGAGUGAGGACAGGCAUUUGGAAUGACUAUUUAGACAAUUUUAUGGUGCUUGAAAUUAUUGCAUCACUUAUAUUCUUUAACAAUGGACUCGUUUCAUUAACCAAGUUAUAAACUGAUUCGGAAGUCAACAAAUUCCACUGCACAAUAAAUAACAAAACAUGAAAUGUCACUUCUGUUCUUAAUGGGAUUUGAAUAUAAUGAGGAAGGAAGAGUAGAACUCUUCGGUUACAAGUGUAUUCUUGAAAAUCACAUCCAACUCUGAACUGUAUAAAACCAUAAGGAAUUAUGUUGUCGUAAGAAGUGGUUUGGAGUCUUUUCUAGAGGUAAUCUGUUGGAGCAAGCCUUGGUCUUUGCAAGCAGAGCAUAUUCAAGGGAUUUUAUAAAGGGACUGUACAUGCUGAUGUGGGUGAAGCUAAGGAAACAGACAAGAAAUGUUGAUGUCUUCCAGGGUCCCACACACACAUAAAGGGGGAUCCAGCAUUCCUUUAAGCCUGUACCUAAAAGCUGAGGAAGUAAUGUUUCCAGAACCCGGGUGAGAAUCGGAGCAACAGAAGAAGAUAUCACCAUACAGGGAUGAAGCCCUGGGCAGGACCACACUAAAUCAGGGGAUGCAGGAAACAAAUAUUCUCUGUCGCUCUCCCCUCUAGCUUUGCAAUCCUCUGCCAGUUUCUUGCACGGGCUGAAAUGAACUAGGUGCUGGGGAGCAGGCAACCCCAUGGGACCUGAGCUGUAAAAGUCAGCGUCCCAGAUUAUGAAGUGUGCAACAGCAGCAGAGACAGACGGAGAGUUAAUCCAGGGAAAGGAGAACCUAGAGCUUGUGUUUUUCCCUCUUAACCUGUUAACUUUUAAGACUUUUCUCUUUGACUUUGAGGUUUCAGCUUAUCUGAUAGUCUUAGACACAGACUUGCUUUCAUUGGUCUCAUUCAUAAGCUCGUAUCUUCUUUCCAUCUGACAAUCUUCAUCUUGACUUCAGUCUGGCAAAUGGCCAGUCCUUGAGUGCUCAUCCUACAAUUCCUAUUUUCCUGCUGUAGUUGGGCAGGCUGUCUACUUUUCUUCAUUCUCAAUCCCCAUCCACCCUCUCAGAUCAUUAGUAGAGAGGUUGUGUUUAAUGGAAUUUCAUUGUGGAAAACAUUCUAUAAAUAUAUUUCAAGUUUGCUACUGCUAAAGCAUUAGGAUUUUACCUGUUCUAGACUCAUUUUGAUACUCAAAAAACAACAACAGUGAUCACACCAUGCAAAUCCUCUAUGUCCUCCCCUUUGUGUCCUAACAGAAUUCUAAGAUUUCUGAUUUCUGACCAUGAACUCUAUUUCUAACUGUGGCUCUUGUUUGCUUGCAAUCUUCUUUGCCCCUUUCUUAGGAUAGUGAGAGCAUUUGUUUUUUUCUGUUCCUAGAUGCAUGAACAAUGCAGCUCUUAGAGGUUUUAAGCUCUUAAAGGUUUUUAUACCAUUGACGUGUUCCAACUCUGCUUCACAGAAACCCGAACUCUCAUUUCCUGUACCGACUUAGGAAUUAAUACCAUUUCUCCUAAUUCCGACUUGUGGGUCCAAAGCCUCCUACAGCAAGUCUUGAUUCUUUUAGCUUUGAACACAUACUUAAAAAUACACUUGAUUUUGUUUUUUCUGGUUUGGAACUCAGCUAUCUUAUAUUUUGUCAAGCAUUUCUAUGUGUUUGGAAGAGAGGGCAACCCAUCCUCUCUGAACGGUACUGAACAGUUUAGUUAUUGACAGUACUGAACAGUUUAGUUCAGUACUGUCACCUACAUGAUAUAUGAGAGACAGCACUCUCCCAAGCCUGUGAAUAGGAAACCUGAAACUAUUCUAAAUAAUUCUGUUUAAUACGCUUUUUUUCUCUUCUGAGAUGACCAGCAGAAUAUGACAGUUUGCGUUUUUAAUGGGCAGAAGGGGAAUUGAAUAGUUCCUCUCUUGAGGCCCUUCAGAAACGUUAGAAAAUUGUUUUCUUCUUCGCACCUGACUGAGUUGCCAUUAGCAGUGUGACUGAUGUCUCUGCUUUGUCUUGGGAGACUGCGUAUUUGUGAACAGUUCACUUUCAUGUUGAGAAUUACUUCCAGCAGAAUUUUGUUUCUUUUCAUAUGUGUAAGCCACAGUGCUCAGUUAUCUGUAAGUAUCUGCCAAGCAGCAAUAGGUUUCUUCUUCUAUCAAACAAUAUGGUUGCUUUUGUAUAAGAUCCACUCAUUACUGUCCAAGGAAUUUAAAAACUUAUUCUUUCCAUUUCUUUAGCAAUAGACUUGCUAUUCUUAUUUAUUAUUUCAGUUUAUCUUAUAACACACAACAGUCUCUGGUAUUUUUCAAGUGUAGGGCUGAGCUCCUUGUAAUUAUAAUUUACAGAUCAACUCUCCCAGUUAGGUAUUAUCUCAAUAUACGGUGGAAAGAAUUAACACUCACACAGGCUGAGUAACUUGCCCAGGUUCCUGGUAACAAAGAUGGAAUUUGAAUUAAGUUUUAUAUCAUUGUAUAUCCUAAAAACUACAUACCACUCUCAUGGCUUUCAACUUUCCAGAUAUACAAAUUGUAACAGAGAUGUUGCUUAACACAUUCUUGGCCAAAUACUCAUCUAACUCCUUUGACUUUCAAGUCAGUAUAUUUUCUACUGUAGAACACUUUUCUAAAAUUAGAAGGUGUGUUCUUCCCACUUUCGUUUUGUCCAGAAUCCCUGCCCAGGACAUAUUCAAGCCUGGAAUGCAAGCUAUUAGGGCUCUUGGCAGCAUUUUCAUGCCUGCAUUUGUGAGGAGCCACAACACUGAAAGAUAAAUACGUAGAAAUUCUACCAAAAUAAUUAACACAUCUCAUUGAUCCUACUUAUACUUUUAUUCAACCAGUUCAAAGUCUUUUUGUGUGUAUCACAUGCCAGGAAAUGUGGCAGGAGUUGGGAAAUUGGGGAAAACUAAGACUCAGUGCCUAGUCUUUGUAAGUUCAGAAUCAAGAAUUAAAAUAGGUAUACAAUACAUAGAUUAAAACAAGAUCUUAUGAACACAGCGGAAUCAUGUACACAAUGGAGAUACAGUAAAGACAUAGACCAGAGAAAAUAACGUUAGUUGAUGAGGAGGUAGUCAGAUUUUAUCUUUAGCAGAAGGAAUUUUAAUUAAUACCAUUCCAAUAUGGUAGAGAUUUCCCUACUUAAACCUGAGGACCUCUGGAGCUAUGUUGUUCCCUGAAUAUUAUUAAAAUGCUUUAGUCAUUCAGUUAGUCAAAAAUAUUAUUGAAUGCCUUUGCUUUUCCAGGAACUGUGGGGUGCUAAAUUUGGUAAACAAAGCCAUGACCCUUACCAACAGGUAGUUUAGUUUAAUGGGGAAGAUAUUUGUUACUCAAAUGAACUGAAAUGUACAUAAACAAACAACUAUGGAAUCAAUACUUCAGGAACUAGAUUUAAGGCACUUGGAUGAAUCAUUCUGCAUUCAAGAAGCAGUGAUAUGCCAACAAAGAUGCCCCUGCUAAUUCGGGAUUUUAUGCUUAAUUUCUGAAAUGACAAUAAUUUUCCAAGUGGUGUUGAUAAGUUUUCCUAAGAAUAGCCAUUCUGAGCCUGCAUUUGUCAUAGGUUGCUGAUUCAUCAAUUCUGAUUACAAAGGGAACAAGGCUAAUCAUGGAUGGAGACUGAGAGAAAAGAGAAGAUGACGUUAACCUGCUCUGUGAUUAACAGAAUCAAAACCAAAAUGAAGCAAAGCAAAUGAAAACAACGGAAGCCUAGCUCCAGACUACAGUAAUAUUAAUGUAGUUAUUUUGCUCCUUAACGACUUGUUUUCUUAAUUCAAUAAAACUUCUGGGACUAAAUACUAAAUUCUCUGUGGUGAAUGGUACUCAGAAUUGUGUUUUGUGUUUGUGAGCCUGUGUGUUUUUUGUGAGUGUAUUGGAGGCACAGAUGUUAAGCAGAGAAAGGUUAUUGGAGAACAUUAUUUGACCAUGUAAUUAUCUUCCAAAUGCUUGAUGUUGGUCAGUAAGAGCAGGAGAGACUGUGGCCAGGAAAGUAGUCAAUGUUUCUGAAGAAAUGGGACUGCCAGACAAAUUACAGUUAGUAGAAGCUGUGGUUUGUGAAAUAGUAACAAUGAUGCCAGAUAAAUUGGAUGAGGAAGAAGCAAGAGGGAGGGGAUAGAAUGGUGGUUGAAAGAAGAAAAAUGGUAGUGUGGGGGAAGCUAAUGUGAGUAGCACCGGGUGUAGGAGAGGAGUUAAUGUUUUAUACCUAUUUGUCUAGAAAUAAGAUGAGGGUCUGAUUUUAUUUUCUCUGCUUCACCUCCCAUUUCUAUAAAACUUAUUUUCAAGUGUAAAUGAGGAACUACUUUUAUCUGCUCACAUUGUUUUAAGACUGGACACAACGCAAGUGUUUUAAUACAUUGAGUCUGUGGAGCAAAAAUGAAUUUCGAGUCAGAUUUGAAUAUGCAGAAAUAUCACUCAUGUAUUUCUCAAUAAUGGAAGUGAAUUUAAACAUUGGGUUAUCAUCUCUGCUUGGUUGCAGAAAACAAUUUUUCCAAUUCAAGGUAAAUUUAGUCAUUUUUAGAUUAGUUUACUUUCUAGAUAAAUAUUUAGUUUGCUUGGGAAUUGCUCCUUGCAUUUUCCCUCCUAUUUCUGGUGUCAGGAAAAGAGUAUCUUGUUAUUUUAUUAUUUACCUUCAUAAUUUUUUUUUCAGCCAGAGAAAACCACGUUAUAUACAAGAAAGUUGACUAAUGCUGCAUCAUAUUAAAACAAGAUGAAUGAUCUGUUUACAUGUUAUCAUGGUUACAUGAACUACAACCAACAAAAACAACACAAAUCUCAACACUCAUUUGAAUAAGAUUUAUGAAGAACCAGGGACUACCUGCGGAAAACAUUUUCUGCCUAUUGUGUGUGUGUAAACCUACACCAACCAGAGUGAUGAACAUUAAGAUCGCAACUAUUUCUUUCAUGUCACCUACAGUAAAGAUCAUUCUAUAAUUUUAUUCCACAGAAAAGGCUGAAAUUGAUGGGAAUGUAAUGAAUUCUGAGAUGUAAAUGAAAAUUGAGGUAAUUUUGUUACUUCAAUCACUUUAUUGCCAUAUCUCUAUACCCAAAGAUUAAGGGCAAAAUCUUCACCAGUGAUUAUAAGAAGUGCAGCAUUUUUAAAAUAAGCAAAGCCUGGAAUAACAGAAUCCUGCAUAAAAUUAUAAAGAAAGCAUAUUCAUGCAAUGCACAAAGCUUCCAUUUGUGGAGUUGAGCUGAUGAGUUUGCAUCACCACCACUCAAAUCUAUGAGCACAGGAGGAGCUGGGCUUUGAACUUUGUUCUGAUUAGAAAGGAAGGUAAGCUCACAACUUGGGAGUCAAAUCACCAUCAGUAGGUCCCUCUACUGACUGAUUUGGACAAAAAAAGUAUUCUACUGCUCCGAUGACAUCAUUUGAAAGUGAGCUUCUUAUUUGAUGUUGAGAAGUGUGCUAUAGUGACUGGGAAGGCAUCAAGAGGCUGACAGGACUGAGAAAUCAUUAUUUUUAGCAAAUAAUGUCAAAUUUCCUAAAGCCAACUACUAGCAUUUUCUUAAUAUCUGUAUUGUAAGUUUUAAGAUACAAUGUUUAAAACAUACACACAAUUAGAGGACAUAGUAAAAUAAGGCCUUGGUUACUUUUUCUGCAAUAUCUUAAAGCAAAUUUUAGACAUCACAGCACAUCUCUCGUAGACGCUUCUACUUGCAGCAUUUCUAAUACAGACUUUUUUGGGGGGCAACAGUUUUAUUGAGAUAGAGUUCACGUAUGAUAUAACUUACCCUGUGAUGUGUAUAAAUCAAUGAUUUUUAGUGUAUUCUCAGAGCUGUGCAACCAAAAUCACACUCAAUUUUGGAAUACUUUAGUCAGUCCUUCCUACCACAAUAACCCUUAGCUAUCAUCCCCAAUCCCCACUCCCCACCCUUGGUCCUAGGCAACCAUUUAUCUAGUUUCCAUCUUUACAGUAUUGCCUAUCCUGUGCAUUUCAUGUAAAUGGAAUUAUGCAAUAUAUGAUCUUUUAUUUGGCUACUUUGACUUAACAUUUCACUAAGUUUUCAAGGUUUAUCCACAUUGAGCAUGAUUCAGUACUUAUUUUUUUUUAUGGGCAAAAAAUAUUCAAUU